GGUAAGAUGGCUGAGUAAGCAUUAGACUGUAAAUCUAAGGACAGAGGAUAGUGACCUCUUCUUAUCA
RNAcentral lists this transfer RNA (67 nucleotides) under Solenodon paradoxus paradoxus. RNAcentral describes it as "tRNA-Tyr". It matches the Rfam family "tRNA". Rfam says of the family: Transfer RNA (tRNA) molecules are approximately 80 nucleotides in length. Their secondary structure includes four short double-helical elements and three loops (D, anti-codon, and T loops). The record is from RNAcentral. RNAcentral also lists the same sequence under 1 other name. Lineage: Eukaryota; Metazoa; Chordata; Mammalia; Eulipotyphla; Solenodontidae.